AUAGGUUAUGGGAAACUUCUCGACCCCUCCUCUCUGUCUCCCCCAUCUCUCGCUGUCUCUCAGUCUCUCACACACACUCUCGCGCUGUCUCGAGCGCGCGUGGACUACCGGAGCAGGGAAGCACGCGUAAUGAGCAGAGUAUUAGCGGCAAUUUUGAACCACAGGCGCACAGGGUGGACUCGUUAGUGAGACGGCGUUUUGCGCACCAGGAACGGAUACUGCAUGCAUGGAAAGACGCUUGGACCGAAAGAGCCGGUGGGAAUAUGACCACCAUAACUGACCAGCGGAAGAGAGUGAGGCGAAAUGGAGCUGUCUGUUUUAUCCUGCAAGAAAAUCCAGCAUAAGGUGAGAAGAGAUGGCACAUGGGGUCAGAGAAGAGAAGGGUUUCUCACUGUGCUGAGUCGCAAGGUGCAGAGCAUCAAAGGAUGAUGAGGAUUAAGAGAUAUGUCCUGAAUCUGUGGGCCACAUCAUCAGCAUUGUGUGGAUGGAUGGAUGGAUGGAUGGAUUGUCUUCUUUGAAAGUUUUCCUGGAUUACAUGUAUGUGUUUGUGGAGUGCAAACCAUAUACUGGAACUGGAAUAAAUACACAGUGGCAUCUGGAUCGAAACAAGAUACAUGACUCGAACGUGGUUCAUAAGUGAAUUCACUAUGCAGUGUAUGAUUUUACUGCCUUCUCCUUGUACCAAUAUUUUCUCUCAAAAUUGCUUGAAUAUGUUUGCACUAUAAAGUUUAUUUAUACAAUAAAUAGUUUAUUUUUCUA
This is a long non-coding RNA of Clarias gariepinus (North African catfish), 759 nucleotides long. RefSeq lists it as uncharacterized. NCBI's taxonomy places the organism in Eukaryota, Metazoa, Chordata, Actinopteri, Siluriformes, Clariidae. The record is from RefSeq and is a predicted model, not a curated record. The transcript is spliced from 4 exons.